RNAcentral lists this small nuclear RNA (18 nucleotides) under Arabidopsis thaliana (thale cress). Its description in RNAcentral is "snRNA_13826". The record is from RNAcentral. Lineage: Eukaryota; Viridiplantae; Streptophyta; Magnoliopsida; Brassicales; Brassicaceae.
CCGGGCGGAGGACAUUGU